RNAcentral lists this ribosomal RNA (253 nucleotides) under uncultured bacterium. RNAcentral's name for it is "partial 16S ribosomal RNA". It matches the Rfam family "Bacterial small subunit ribosomal RNA", at positions 524 to 776 of the family's 1533-position model. The record is from RNAcentral.
UACGUAGGGGGCAAGCGUUGUCCGGAAUUAUUGGGCGUAAAGAGCGUGUAGGCGGUCCGGUAAGUCAGCUGUGAAAGUCAAGGGCUCAACCCUUGAAAGCCGGUUGAUACUGUCGGGCUAGAGUCCGGAAGAGGCGAGUGGAAUUCCCGGUGUAGCGGUGAAAUGCGCAGAUAUCGGGAGGAACACCAAUGGCGAAGGCAGCUCGCCGGGACGGUACUGACGCUGAGACGCGAAAGCGUGGGGAGCAAACAGG